Sinocyclocheilus rhinocerous is the source of this 439-nucleotide long non-coding RNA. RefSeq lists it as uncharacterized. The record is from RefSeq and is a predicted model, not a curated record. NCBI's taxonomy places the organism in Eukaryota, Metazoa, Chordata, Actinopteri, Cypriniformes, Cyprinidae. The transcript is spliced from 2 exons.
UUUAAAAUGUACUUUAUUGGACAGUGACAACAUUCCAAGUUAAUUAAAAUGUUAUUGCAUUUCCGAUUCAUAAUUUCUCAAUUUGAAAAAGGUAACUUAUUCUGAAAAGGCCAAAAAUAAAAGUCUGGCCAGACACGACAUUUCUACUACAGCACAGUCCAGCAGAGAUGCCUGAGGAUACACUGGAUAUUGCAUACACACUGCUAAUGUCUUGCAUCGAGAGGUUUUAUUGCAGACCAGUCGGCACACAAGAGAUCUUUUUCAUAUCGCUUAAUGGUUUGAAUACCACAGGACAGGAGGUGGACCUCUUGGAGAGUCAUAUGGGAACUUAAAGAAGAUAAAGGCACUUCUAAUAAUAAUAAUACCCAAAUGAGUGCAAACACAAGCGAAGGACUGGAGCCAUUAAGCAAAUGAAGGUGACGGAAUGAAUAGGAAAAAA